Molecule: ribosomal RNA, 519 nt
Filed under: Oophaga granulifera (granular poison frog)
Lineage: Eukaryota; Metazoa; Chordata; Amphibia; Anura; Dendrobatidae
Description: partial 16S ribosomal RNA
Rfam family: Bacterial large subunit ribosomal RNA
Source: RNAcentral
CAGUGACACUGUUCAACGGCCGCGGUAUCCUAACCGUGCGAAGGUAGCGUAAUCACUUGUUCUUUAAUUGAGGACUAGUAUGAAUGGCUUCACGAAGACUUCGCUGUCUCCUUUUUCUAAUCAAUGAAACUAAUCUCCCCGUGAAGAAGCGGGGAUGCAUUUAUAAGACGAGAAGACCCUAUGGAGCUUUAAACAACAGAAACACUUGCUUUUAACCACUACAUCUUCAGAGAACUAUAAAUACCCUGAGCACUUUAAUUUCUAGUUUUAGGUUGGGGUGACCACGGAGUAAAAACUAACCUCCAUGCUGAAAUGAACCUCCAUUCUUAGUCUAAAGUCACAACUUUAAACAUCAAUAAAUUGACUACCAUUGACCCAAUUACUUGAUCAACGAACCAAGUUACCCUAGGGAUAACAGCGCAAUCUACUUCGAGAGCUCUUAUCGACAAGUAGGUUUACGACCUCGAUGUUGGAUCAGGGUAUCCUAGUGGUGCAGCCGCUACUAACGGUUCGUUUGUU